RNAcentral lists this ribosomal RNA (430 nucleotides) under Bacillota bacterium. RNAcentral's name for it is "Firmicutes bacterium partial 16S ribosomal RNA". It matches the Rfam family "Bacterial small subunit ribosomal RNA", at positions 355 to 776 of the family's 1533-position model. The record is from RNAcentral. Lineage: Bacteria; Bacillati; Bacillota.
UGGGGAAUUUUUCGCAAUGGGGGAAACCCUGACGAAGCAACGCCGCGUGGAGGAUGAAGGCCUUCGGGUCGUAAACUCCUGUCGACCGGGACGAACGCUAUUGGGCCCAAUACGCCCGAUAGUCGACUGUACCGGUGGAGGAAGCCACGGCUAACUCUGUGCCAGCAGCCGCGGUAAUACAGAGGUGGCAAGCGUUGUUCGGAAUUACUGGGCGUAAAGGGCGCGUAGGCGGUCUUGUCAGUCCCUUGUGAAAUCCCCCGGCUCAACUGGGGAACGGCAAGGGAAACAGCAGGGCUUGAGUUCGGGAGAGGGAAGCGGAAUUCCGGGUGUAGCGGUGAAAUGCGUAGAUAUCCGGAGGAACACCGGUGGCGAAGGCGGCUUCCUGGACCGAUACUGACGCUGAGGCGCGAAAGCUAGGGGAGCAAACGGG